UGCAGUCGAGCGGAAACGACACUAACAAUCAUUCGGGUGCGUUAAUGGGCGUCGAGCGGCGGACGGGUGAGUAAUGCCUAGGAAAUUGCCUUGAUGUGGGGGAUAACCAUUGGAAACGAUGGCUAAUACCGCAUAAUGCCUACGGGCCAAAGAGGGGGAUCUUCGGACCUCUCGCGUCAAGAUAUGCCUAGGUGGGAUUAGCUAGUUGGUGAGGUAAUGGCUCACCAAGGCGACGAUCCCUAGCUGGUCUGAGAGGAUGAUCAGCCACACUGGAACUGAGACACGGUCCAGACUCCUACGGGAGGCAGCAGUGGGGAAUAUUGCACAAUGGGCGAAAGCCUGAUGCAGCCAUGCCGCGUGUAUGAAGAAGGCCUUCGGGUUGUAAAGUACUUUCAGUUGUGAGGAAGGGGGUAACGUUAAUAGCGUUAUCUCUUGACGUUAGCAACAGAAGAAGCACCGGCUAACUCCGUGCCAGCAGCCGCGGUAAUACGGAGGGUGCGAGCGUUAAUCGGAAUUACUGGGCGUAAAGCGCAUGCAGGUGGUUCAUUAAGUCAGAUGUGAAAGCCCGGGGCUCAACCUCGGAACUGCAUUUGAAACUGGUGAACUAGAGUGCUGUAAAAGGGGGGAGAAUUUCAGGUGUAGCGGUGAAAUGCGUAGAGAUCUGAAGGAAUAC
RNAcentral lists this ribosomal RNA (673 nucleotides) under uncultured bacterium. Its description in RNAcentral is "bacterial SSU rRNA". It matches the Rfam family "Bacterial small subunit ribosomal RNA", at positions 56 to 709 of the family's 1533-position model. The record is from RNAcentral.